UUAAAUUGAAGAGUUUGAUCAUGGCUCAGAUUGAACGCUGGCGGCAGGCUUAACACAUGCAAGUCGAACGGUAACAGGAAGCAGCUUGCUGCUUUG
Molecule: ribosomal RNA, 96 nt
Filed under: Salmonella enterica
Lineage: Bacteria; Pseudomonadati; Pseudomonadota; Gammaproteobacteria; Enterobacterales; Enterobacteriaceae
Also listed under: 2 other names
Description: partial 16S ribosomal RNA
Rfam family: Bacterial small subunit ribosomal RNA
Source: RNAcentral